GGCUCAGGACGAACGCUGGCGGCGCGCUUAACACAUGCAAGUCGAGCGAUGAAAUUUCGACAGAUCYCUUCGGGGUGAAGAUGAAAUGGAUUAGCGGCGGACGGGUGAGUAACACGUGAGUAACCUGCCUUAGACAUUGGGAUAGCCUCGGGAAACCGGGAUUAAUACCAAAUGAAAUCACAUAUGCACAUGCAUAAAUGAUCAAAGCUCCGGCGGUCUAAGAUGGACUCGCGUCCCAUUAGCUAGUUGGUGAGGUAACGGCCCACCAAGGCGACGAUGGGUAGCCGGCCUGAGAGGGUGAACGGCCACAUUGGAACUGAGAAACGGUCCAAACUCCUACGGGAGGCAGCAGUGGGGAAUAUUGCACAAUGGAGGGAACUCUGAUGCAGCGACGCCGCGUGAACGAAGAAGGCUUUCGAGUCGUAAAGUUCUUUUAUAUGGGAAGAUAAUGACGGUACCAUAAGAAAAAGCCCCGGCUAACUACGUGCCAGCAGCCGCG
Molecule: ribosomal RNA, 499 nt
Filed under: Peptoniphilus sp. MML-11-319
Lineage: Bacteria; Bacillati; Bacillota; Tissierellia; Tissierellales; Peptoniphilaceae
Description: bacterial SSU rRNA
Rfam family: Bacterial small subunit ribosomal RNA
Source: RNAcentral